Molecule: ribosomal RNA, 450 nt
Filed under: uncultured bacterium
Lineage: Bacteria
Description: partial 16S ribosomal RNA
Rfam family: Bacterial small subunit ribosomal RNA
Source: RNAcentral
GUGGGGAAUUUUGGACAAUGGGCGCAAGCCUGAUCCAGCAAUGCCGCGUGCAGGAAGAAGGCCUUCGGGUUGUAAACUGCUUUUGUACGGAACGAAACGGUCCUGGUUAAUACCUGGGGCUAAUGACGGUACCGUAAGAAUAAGCACCGGCUAACUACGUGCCAGCAGCCGCGGUAAUACGUAGGGUGCGAGCGUUAAUCGGAAUUACUGGGCGUAAAGCGUGCGCAGGCGGUGCUGUAAGACAGGCGUGAAAUCCCCGGGCUCAACCUGGGAAUUGAGCUUGUGACUGCAGUGCUGGAGUACGGCAGAGGGGGAUGGAAUUCCGCGUGUAGCAGUGAAAUGCGUAGAUAUGCGGAGGAACACCGAUGGCGAAGGCAGUCCCCUGGGCCUGUACUGACGCUCAUGCACGAAAGCGUGGGGAGCAAACAGGAUUAGAUACCCUGGUAGUCC